Molecule: long non-coding RNA, 273 nt
Filed under: Dermacentor andersoni
Lineage: Eukaryota; Metazoa; Arthropoda; Arachnida; Ixodida; Ixodidae
Description: uncharacterized LOC126532404
Source: RNAcentral
UUCUCCAAGAUAAGCUUGUGACCAGCUUUUUUGUGUUCUGUGUGAUCAUUGUAGUGUCAAAUUUUUCAUUUUUAUUUCAGGACUGCGGCUGCGGUCGUUUCAUUGCCAACUGUGAGGAUGAAGCAGCUUCAUGGCCGGAGAUCGGGCGCCUCCCAUCAGUUUCCCUUUUCAGCAAUAGAGGCCUUGGAGGCCUUUCUACCUGCGUUGCAUCCUGUGGCUGGACCACUCCAACGAUCUCGGCAGAAUCGUUACACAGGAAGAAGUCUGGCUGGC